GACACUUUGGCCGAGUGGUUAAGGCGAUGCCCUGCUAUCCCAUGAGAUAACUUCAGGCAUUGUGUUCGCACGCGCAGGUUCGAAUCCUGCAGGUGUCG
Trichoderma harzianum is the source of this 98-nucleotide transfer RNA. It matches the Rfam family "tRNA". From Rfam's summary of the family: Transfer RNA (tRNA) molecules are approximately 80 nucleotides in length. NCBI's taxonomy places the organism in Eukaryota, Fungi, Ascomycota, Sordariomycetes, Hypocreales, Hypocreaceae. The record is from Rfam.